This is a non-coding RNA of Biomphalaria pfeifferi, 456 nucleotides long. Lineage: Eukaryota; Metazoa; Mollusca; Gastropoda; Planorbidae. The record is from the annotation of a GenBank genome assembly.
AGAAGUUCAUUCUAAGUACGCUAACUAUGGAUCGCAGGUCAUGGCUUGCUAUCCCUCUGAAAUUUGCGAUAGACGGAGGCUGCUCCAUACAAAAUUUUAAAAAACAGAGCUAGAGCUGCUGGCGUUGUUCUCUUUGCUGCCUCACUGUAAGAUCAGAAGCUGGUCACUGUAAGCGCAUCCCAGAUAAACCUGGAACCACUUAUUACAGGUUACAGGCCCUUUCUGAAAAACCGCUUACACAAUAUACAUGUAACUUUAGACAAGCAAGCAGGUGUAAAAUUUCAAGAAGACCUUUAUUUAGAAACGUGAGCUUGACCAUGCAAAAUGAUGUAUAGUGUCUUUUCUAUUUCAUUCUUAUCUAGGGUCAUAGGUCACCAUCUCAAAUUUAAUGAUACUUUAUUCAUGUAGAUGCUAACACCUUUCAAAUAUGAGCUAGGGUCAUAGGUGACCAUCUCA